GGUUUAAGCGUGUAGGCUGAUUUUCCAGGCAAAUCCGGAAAAUCAAGGCUGAGGCGUGAUGACGAGGCACUACGGUGCUGAAGCAACAAAUGCCCUGCUUCCAGGAAAAGCCUCUAAGCAUCAGGUAACAUCAAAUCGUACCCCAAACCGACACAGGUGGUCAGGUAGAGAAUACCAAGGCGCUUGAGAGAACUCGGGUGAAGGAACUAGGCAAAAUGGUGCCGUAACUUCGGGAGAAGGCACGCUGAUAUGUAGGUGAAGCGACUUGCUCGUGGAGCUGAAAUCAGUCGAAGAUACCAGCUGGCUGCAACUGUUUAUUAAAAACACAGCACUGUGCAAACACGAAAGUGGACGUAUACGGUGUGACGCCUGCCCGGUGCCGGAAGGUUAAUUGAUGGGGUUAGCGGUAACGCGAAGCUCUUGAUCGAAGCCCCGGUAAACGGCGGCCGUAACUAUAACGGUCCUAAGGUAGCGAAAUUCCUUGUCGGGUAAGUUCCGACCUGCACGAAUGGCGUAAUGAUGGCCAGGCUGUCUCCACCCGAGACUCAGUGAAAUUGAACUCGCUGUGAAGAUGCAGUGUACCCGCGGCAAGACGGAAAGACCCCGUGAACCUUUACUAUAGCUUGACACUGAACAUUGAGCCUUGAUGUGUAGGAUAGGUGGGAGGCUUUGAAGUGUGGACGCCAGUCUGCAUGGAGCCGGCCUUGAAAUACCACCCUUUAAUGUUUGAUGUUCUAACGUUGGCCCCUGAUCGGGGUUGCGGACAGUGUCUGGUGGGUAGUUUGACUGGGGCGGUCUCCUCCUAAAGAGUAACGGAGGAGCACGAAGGUUGGCUAAUCCUGGUCGGACAUCAGGAGGUUAGUGCAAUGGCAUAAGCCAGCUUGACUGCGAGCGUGACGGCGCGAGCAGGUGCGAAAGCAGGUCAUAGUGAUCCGGUGGUUCUGAAUGGAAGGGCCAUCGCUCAACGGAUAAAAGGUACUCCGGGGAUAACAGGCUGAUACCGCCCAAGAGUUCAUAUCGACGGCGGUGUUUGGCACCUCGAUGUCGGCUCAUCACAUCCUGGGGCUGAAGUAGGUCCCAAGGGUAUGGCUGUUCGCCAUUUAAAGUGGUACGCGAGCUGGGUUUAGAACGUCGUGAGACAGUUCGGUCCCUAUCUGCCGUGGGCGCUGGAGAACUGAGGGGGGCUGCUCCUAGUACGAGAGGACCGGAGUGGACGCAUCACUGGUGUUCGGGUUGUCAUGCCAAUGGCACUGCCCGGUAGCUAAAUGCGGAAGAGAUAAGUGCUGAAAGCAUCUAAGCACGAAACUUGCCCCGAGAUGAGUUCUCCCUGAGACUUAGAGUCUCCUGAAGGAACGUUGAAGACGACGACGUUGAUAGGCCGGGUGUGUAAGCGCAGCGAUGCGUUGAGCUAACCGGUACUAAUGAACCGUGAGGCUUAACCUUACAACGCCGAAG
Molecule: ribosomal RNA, 1455 nt
Filed under: Escherichia coli
Lineage: Bacteria; Pseudomonadati; Pseudomonadota; Gammaproteobacteria; Enterobacterales; Enterobacteriaceae
Description: partial 23S ribosomal RNA
Rfam family: Bacterial large subunit ribosomal RNA
Source: RNAcentral